AUAUGCCUCACUACUCGUAAAAAGAUAGGGUUUUCUAGGUGCCCCUUUGAGCACUUGAGUUGAGUUGGAUCGGAUCGGACUCUCGGAGUAGUUCUUACUUUCCAUUUACAGUAGGAUCGGUUUCGAAUAUAUACUUGAGCUAGGAUGAGAUGAGAUGCAUGAGUGCUACUAGAUCUAUAUAAGCUAAUAUAUAUGGCUCCUCCUUAUAUUCUAAUCACAGUUUUAACUAUGAUAGUCAAGGAACCCCAUCUGGCUGCAGUGGUGCAACCGAGCUAGGUGCUGCAGCUCUAUAUAACGCGUUAUGCGAUCUCCACUAUCUCUCAAUCAACAUUAAUUAGUUUGGCUUGUAGAUCCGGAUCACAUAUCACUUAUCAGUACAGUGUUGCUCCAAAUUCAUUUUAUUUUUUAGUUGCAGUUAUUAACUAGUUGUUCGCCUUUAAACAACAUUUGUUUUAUUCAUACAUGCCGAGUUAAGAAUGUAUGCUUUUAUCUGGUUGUCCGAUAAAGUGAUAACUUGAUAAAUUUGGUA
Arachis duranensis is the source of this 529-nucleotide long non-coding RNA. RefSeq lists it as uncharacterized. The record is from RefSeq and is a predicted model, not a curated record. Lineage: Eukaryota; Viridiplantae; Streptophyta; Magnoliopsida; Fabales; Fabaceae. The transcript is spliced from 2 exons.